RNAcentral lists this ribosomal RNA (407 nucleotides) under uncultured bacterium. RNAcentral's name for it is "partial 16S ribosomal RNA". It matches the Rfam family "Bacterial small subunit ribosomal RNA", at positions 30 to 526 of the family's 1533-position model. The record is from RNAcentral.
AUUGAACGCUGGCGGCAGGCCUAACACAUGCAAGUCGAACGGAGUGGCGGACGGGUGAGUAAUGCCUGGGAAUCUGCCUGGUAGUGGGGGAUAACGUCCGGAAACUGGCGCUAAUACCGCAUCCUAUCAGAUGAGCCCAGGUCGGAUUAGCUAGUUGGUGGGGUAAAGGCCUACCAAGGCGACGAUCCCUAACUGGUCUGAGAGGAUGAUCAGUCACAAUGGAACUGAGACAAGGUCCAGACGCCUACGGGAGGGAGCAGUGGGGAAUAUUGGACAAUGGGCGAAAGCCUGAUGCAGCCAUGCAGCGUGUGUGAAGAAGGUCUUCGGAUUGUAAAGCACUUUAAGUUGGGAGGCGUUACCAACAGAAUAAGCACCGGCUAACUUCGUGCCAGCAGCCGCGGUAAUUC